AUGACAGUGGCAGGAGACACUUGGACGUCACAAGGCAAAGAUGCAGAUGAUGCUGACUAUGGAGACUUUGCUCUCUGGGCCUCCAUUGAUGAAGGUAAUCUGGAUAAGGCAUCUCUUGCUUCUAAUGAGAGUGCUCCAGAGUGGGUUCUUCACUCUGGAGCAUCUAAGCAUGUUGCUAGUAAUUCCUGCAUGUUUGAGUCUUACCAUAAGCACCCUCCGCCUCACACGGGCACAAUGCAAACUGCUGAUGGCACAAACCAGCCUGUCAUAGGGGUUGGCACAGUCAAGUGCACUCCGACCAUCUCCCUAUCCUCAGUGUUACAUGUGCCAGCUUUUCCUGUCUAUUUGGUCUCUUUCAAUGCUCUAAUUGAUCAAAUUGACUGUCGUGUGACCCUUGACAAAUUCGGUUGCAUGAUUCAGGAGCAACGGACGAGCCAGACGGUUGGGACUAGCACCAGGCGAAGGGGGCUCUGGUACAGCCGGACUUGGUGUGUGCUACGACCAUGGAGGACAAGGAGAAGGAGGCGAUGA
This 531-nucleotide ribosomal RNA is filed under the name Triticum aestivum (bread wheat). Its description in RNAcentral is "partial small subunit ribosomal RNA". The record is from RNAcentral. Lineage: Eukaryota; Viridiplantae; Streptophyta; Magnoliopsida; Poales; Poaceae.